This 73-nucleotide transfer RNA is filed under the name Strongylocentrotus purpuratus (purple sea urchin). It matches the Rfam family "tRNA". Rfam says of the family: Transfer RNA (tRNA) molecules are approximately 80 nucleotides in length. Their secondary structure includes four short double-helical elements and three loops (D, anti-codon, and T loops). Further hydrogen bonds mediate the characteristic L-shaped molecular structure. tRNAs have two regions of fundamental functional importance: the anti-codon, which is responsible for specific mRNA codon recognition, and the 3' end, to which the tRNAs corresponding amino acid is attached (by aminoacyl-tRNA synthetases). tRNAs cope with the degeneracy of the genetic code in two manners: having more than one tRNA (with a specific anti-codon) for a particular amino acid; and 'wobble' base-pairing, i.e. permitting non-standard base-pairing at the 3rd anti-codon position. Lineage: Eukaryota; Metazoa; Echinodermata; Echinoidea; Camarodonta; Strongylocentrotidae. The record is from Rfam by way of RNAcentral.
GGCAUGGUGGCUCAGUGGUUAGAGCGUCCGCCUCAUGAACAGGAGGUCGUGGGUUCAAACCACGGCCGUGUCA